UGAAUACGAGAUGCUACGGCGUCGAAGCAGUCUAUGUCAUACUUCCAAGAAAAGCUCGCACUGUCAUAAACAAAUAAUGCCUGUACCAUAACCGACACAGGUGGGUAGGUAGAGUAUACUAAGGGGCGCGAGAUAACUCUCUCUAAGGAACUCGGCAAAAUGACUCCGUAACUUCGGGAGAAGGAGUGCCUUAUUUAUAAGGUUGCAAUAACAAGAUCCAAGCAACUGUUUAUCAAAAACACAGGUCUCCGCUAAGUCGUAAGACGAUGUAUGGGGGCUGACGCCUGCCCAGUGCCAGAAGGUUAAAGAAGUUGGUUAGCAUUCGCGAAGCUGAUAACUGAAGCCCUGGUGAACGGCGGCCGUAACAAUAACGGUCCUAAGGUAGCGAAAUUCCUUGUCGGGUAAGUUCCGACCCGCACGAAAGGCGUAAUGAUUUGGAUACUGUCUCGGAGAGGGGCUCGGUGAAAUAGACUUGUCUGUGAAGAUGCGGACUACCUGCACCAGGACAGAAAGACCCUAUGAAGCUUUACUGUAACUUGAGAUUGAAAUUGGACUUUACUUGCGCAGUAUAGGUGGGAGGCGUUGAUAAUAUUCUUGCGGGAUUAUUUGAGCCAUCAGUGAGAUACCACUCUUGUAAUGUUAGAUUUCUAACUUUGUAUCAUUAUCUGGUCAAAGGACAGUUUCAGGCGGGCAGUUUGACUGGGGCGGUCGCCUCCUAAACGGUAACGGAGGCGCACAAAGGUUUCCUCUGAACGGGUAGAAAUCGUAUCUAGAGUGUAAAGGCAUAAGGAAGCUUGACUGUGAGACCUACAAGUCGAGCAGGGACGAAAGUCGGUCUUAGUGAUCUGACGGUGCUGAGUGGAAAGGCCGUCACUCAACGGAUAAAAGUUACUCUAGGAUAACAGGCUGAUCUCCCCCAAGAGUUCACAUCGACGGGGAGGUUUGGCACCUCGAUGUCGGCUCAUCGCAUCCUGGGGCGGUAGUACGUCCCAAGGGUUGGGCUGUUCGCCCAUGAAAGCGGUACGCGAGCUGGGUUCAGAACGUCGUGAGACAGUUCGGUUCAUAUCCGGUGUAGGCGUUAGAAUAUUGAGAGGAGCCUUCUUUAGUACGAGAGGACCGAGAAGGACAUACCUCUGGUGUACCAGUUAUCGUGCCAACGGUAAACGCUGGGUAGCUAUGUAUGGAGUGGAUAACCGCUGAAAGCAUCUAAGUGGGAAGCCCACCUCAAGAUAAGUAUUCUCAU
RNAcentral lists this ribosomal RNA (1243 nucleotides) under metagenome. RNAcentral's name for it is "bacterial LSU rRNA". It matches the Rfam family "Bacterial large subunit ribosomal RNA", at positions 1564 to 2817 of the family's 2925-position model. The record is from RNAcentral.